UUACGAGCCUGUUUUGAACAAUCUUUUUCUCUUUCUCCUUCUCCUCUUAAUUUCCCCUUCGUUUUCUUCAAACUUUUACUCGUUUUUGCCUUCAAUAUUUUCUUUAUUUAGUCAUUUUCAUUAUCAUCUAUACAUACAUUUAUAUAUAUUUAUUUAUAUAUAUAUAUAUAUAUAUACAUAUAUAUAUAUAAACGUAUGCAUGUAGCUAAGUUUCUGUAUGUUGAUUUGAUAUAUAUAUGUUUUUGUCUCUUCUACUUCAACUUUUUAGUUACCUAUGUCUAUUUCUGCUAUAUUCGCCUUAUCCUCUGAAAAGAUGUGUGUAUAUAGAUAAAUCAAUAUGUACAUAGAAACAAUUAUAUAGUAUAUAUAUAUAUAUAUAUAUGCAUACCGAUGGUGGAAAGGGAGAGAAAAAUGGCGGACAUUCACACAAAUGUAUGGAGGAGGGAGUCUAUAUGAAGGCUGUGCACGUCUACACUCCGUGUGGGUGUGCCAAACGUUUAACUCUGCAUGUUGAAAAUCCUCAAACUUACUGACAAUAUAAAACAAGUUUAUUGCAUCAUUUUACCGCAUAGUUUCAACUGAGCCACAAUUCCUUACAAACUUUGUAGGAAAUGGACCAAAUAUGAUGUGAAGAGACUAUUUCUGAGAAUACAGGAUGCAUUGGUUUCAAGAAUUCUCAAUGAAAAUUUGCAUUUCAUAGAUAAACAGAAGAGAGAUUAGCAUCCGCUAUAGCAAGUGACAAACUGAAGAUAUUAGUUGAAGAGAAGCCAGACUUAAUUUUCUAAGAAACAACUUUCAGGAGUGGUAUUUUGCCAGUUCACAUCACCUGUAAUAAAGUGGAAAAGAGAAGCCUGUCCAAUAAAUUGUAUAUGGACUUCAACACAAACUUCACAUUUAAAACUGUCACUGUACAUACCCGCUUGAUAUAUCACCUAUCAUAUUCCUUAGCAUUGACAGUAACUGAACAGAUAUACUGAUAAAUUUCAAUGUAUCCAGAAAGUUUGCUGCAGGAAAAUUCGCCUCAGGAUUUUUGGCUGUAGGAGAGUUCACCACGUAGGAAAUUUUGCCGCAAGACAAUUUCACCGCAAAAAGAUGAAUUGCUCCCUUGAUACAUAAUUGUUUCAGCCAACCUAACUUUUAUUAGAGAAACCAAUAAGAGGGGGUAAAGUAAUUUCUUAACUCUUUUAAAAUUUCUUUAUUCAUGUGACAAUAUUUGUUUUGUGUAGCUAACCCAUUACAAUAGUCUAUCAAGUGGGAAUUAGCAGAGGUAGUUUGAAAUUAGUUGAUGAUCUUAACUUUGUUUAUACGAUAGAUAGAAAAUACGGUGAAAAACCUUAUUGGAAAUGUGAAAAUAGAGAAUGUAAAGCAAGAGUGCAUACCAUGCUGGAGAACAAUAAUUUAUCUAUAUGUAAGAUAUUCGGCGAGCAUUGCCAUCCUUCUCAUCCUUUAAAACCGAAAGUUUACAUAGCGAAAAUGAAAUUGAAAUCACUAGCCACUAAUUCACAAACUUCUGCAUGGUCGUUAAUUGCAGAAAUUUCAUCUAGUUUAGAUGAUAAUGCACUGUCACUGAUGCCAUCGCAUUUGUCUCGCAAUAUUAGAGGUUGGAGGCAAAAGAAAAGCCAAGCUCCCCUGAUCCCAACUGGAAGAAGUGGGUAUAUAAUACCUGAAGAAUAUAGAUUUCUUGAAAAUGGUGAGAAGUUUUUAUUAUAUGAUAGUGGUGAAGAUAAUCCGGAGAGACUGUUAGUAUUUGGUACACAAGUUGGGUUAGAUGAACUUGGGAAUAAUAAAGAUUGACCUUGUGAUGGAACUUUUAAAUGCAGCCCAGAUAUAUAUUAUCAGUUGUUCACGUUACAUAUUGUCACAUGAAAUAUUAACAUACUGCGUCUUUUUGAUUUGCUACUCGGUAAAUCACAACGUACAGAAGGCUUUCUUACACCCAUCAUUAGAGCUUGAAAUCUUAAUGGUUGAUUUCGAGAAAGCAGUUAUCAAUACUUUCUGUAAUAUAUUUCCAACAACAAAUAUAACAAGGUGUUUAUUUCAUAUGGCUAAGAAUAUCUAUCACUACAUUAUGGAGAUAAGUAUAAAACCUUGUUAUCAAACAGAUGCAGAAUUUAACAAUGCUUCCAGUGCGUGAAAUUAUUGAUGGUUUUCUUGAACUAACUGAUGAUGAUGAUUUGCUUCAAGAAUUUGUAUCCUACUUUGAAACUCACUAUAUAGGAGGAGAAUGAGGUUGAGGUGAGCGAAAACUAAGAAUGCAACCAGCUUUUCCUAUUGAAGUGUGGAAUGUCUUCGAAAGAACCCAGAAUAAUACGAUGAGAACAAACAACAGUGUAGAAGGCUUCCACGUUGCAAUGCAAAGCUCCAUCACUAACAUGCACCCAAAUUUGUGGAAACUUAUUACGUAUUUGAAAAAGGAAGAGAUGUUACUGAAAAAGAAAAAGUGUCAUUUAGAUUGAGCAGAUGCAGUCCUAAUAAAAAAAAUAUAUAUUAAUAUCAAUCAAAGAAUUUUGUAGAAAACGCUUCAUUAUAAAUAUGAAAAUGCUUCAAUAUAAAUAUGUUUACAACAAACAAAAAGAAAA
This 2579-nucleotide long non-coding RNA is filed under the name Octopus sinensis (East Asian common octopus). Its description in RNAcentral is "uncharacterized LOC115212940". Lineage: Eukaryota; Metazoa; Mollusca; Cephalopoda; Octopoda; Octopodidae. The record is from RNAcentral.